CGCACCUUGCGCCCCUUGGUAUUCCGAGGGGCAUGCCUGUUUGAGUGUCAUGUUAAUCUCAAACCCCGAGUCUUUCUUAAUUGAAGGGCCCCGAUCGGUUUGGACUUGGAGGUUACUGCUGGCUCCCCCUCUUUGUAGUCGGCUCCUCUGAAAUGCAUUAGCUGGACUUUGGUUCGCAUUUACGGUGUAAUAGUAAUACUUGUUCACCAAGUGCUUGCCUAAGGAGUCUGCUUCUAAUCGCCCUUUACUUUUGGGCAAGGUCCCCUUUGACCUUCAUGAACACUUUGACCUCAAAUCAGGUAGGAUUACCCGCUGAACUUAA
Molecule: unclassified non-coding RNA, 322 nt
Filed under: Fomitiporella sp.
Lineage: Eukaryota; Fungi; Basidiomycota; Agaricomycetes; Hymenochaetales; Hymenochaetaceae
Description: partial contains 5.8S ribosomal RNA, internal transcribed spacer 2, and large subunit ribosomal RNA
Source: RNAcentral